UGUAAAUAUUUGGUGAUUGGAAAUUUUGGUUUGCUUGACUGGCCAUAGAUACUAUAGAUAAAGUAGAGACAAAUGUAUGUGUAUUCCAUGUGUCUUAUUUUUCUGGUCCAUGUCCCUAGAGUAGGUCUACACUAACCAAAGUCACCAGUAGGUGAGACUGAGCGCACACAUUUUGGCCUUUUUUUCUGUCUGGUGACGACUAACUAAAUUUGGUUUGCUCCACUAGGGAGUGGGAAUGUGGGAAAGUGCCCGCCUCGUGACUCAUUGGGAGCAGAGGAUGUUAGGAUAAAAAAAUUAAAGCUAACAAUACAGGUACAUGUAAUGCUGUUAUAAUUAAUUAGUUAUAGUUUGAGUUGUCUGUUUGUGAAUGUAUAUUGUGUAGCGUUUGUUAAGUGUUUGUAUCAUGUUUAGUUAUUUUGUUCUUGGUACUGUACUUACUAACUUUAGUCUCCCCUGGUUGUAUUGAUAAUUUGAUUAGUCAUGAUGGCGUCUACUAAUUUCAUGAUAUUCUAGAUAUUUCUAUGCUAUUGCUAGGAAUGGGCACGGGACAAAAUUAUAGAUUUAAAGAAAUCCCCCCCCCCCUCCCUCAUUACGUAAGAUGUCAGUUUGAGCUUGGGGGGCAGUUUAAUAAUCUGUUUUUAGGGUGUACAGGGCGUGAUAGACUGAUGUGGGGUGUCAGGUGUCCGCGGAGAACUGGAACUGGCCCACGUCACCGGUUCGGAAAAUAGCAAGUUCUUUUUUAACAGCGUCAGUAGGUAUCGGGCACGGGACCAAAUUUUAGGGAAAAUUUUUGUUAUCGCUUUUUUGUUUUGUCUUCCACAGCUCACAGACUUCCCCUCCCCACUCCCCCCCUUGCGGAAGUCGGAAGUACCGGGCCUCACCGUGGCGCAAGGGUGUAACGCUCUGUU
Long non-coding RNA from Aplysia californica (California sea hare), 908 nucleotides. RefSeq lists it as uncharacterized. Lineage: Eukaryota; Metazoa; Mollusca; Gastropoda; Aplysiida; Aplysiidae. The record is from RefSeq and is a predicted model, not a curated record. The transcript has 2 exons.